AGAGCACUGGAUGAGCUAGGGGGACCACAAUCUUACCGAACUCAACCAAACUCCGAAUACCCGUGACAACAGGCCGGGACUCAGGCGUUGGGAGCUAAGUUUUCAGCGCCAAGAGGGAAAGAACCCAGAUCGUCAGCUAAGGUCCCCAAGUCGUGACUAAGUGGGAAAGGAUGUGGGAGCGCUUAGACAGCCAGGAGGUUGGCUUAGAAGCAGCCAUCCUUCAAAGAAAGCGUAACAGCUCACUGGUCGAGCGAACCCGCGCCGAAAAUUCAACGGGUCUCAAGUCACGCACCGAAGCUACGGGUUUCUGCAAAGAAGCGGUAGGCGAGCAUUCUCUGUGCGGUGAAGGCGUACGGUAACGAGCGUUGGAGCGCAGAGAAGAGCUGAUGUUGGCGUGAGUAGCGAUAAAGAGAGUGAAAAACUCUCUCGCCGUAAACCCAAGGGUUCCUGGGUAAAGAUAAUCUGCUCAGGGUUAGUCGGUCCUAAGGCGAGGCCGAAAGGCGUAGUCGAUGGAAGCAGGCGAACAUCCU
This 530-nucleotide ribosomal RNA is filed under the name uncultured bacterium. Its description in RNAcentral is "bacterial LSU rRNA". It matches the Rfam family "Bacterial large subunit ribosomal RNA", at positions 904 to 1440 of the family's 2925-position model. The record is from RNAcentral.